RNAcentral lists this ribosomal RNA (439 nucleotides) under uncultured bacterium. RNAcentral describes it as "partial 16S ribosomal RNA". It matches the Rfam family "Bacterial small subunit ribosomal RNA", at positions 338 to 795 of the family's 1533-position model. The record is from RNAcentral.
CCUACGGGGGCAGCAGUGGGGGAUAUUGCACAAUGGGGGAAACCCUGAUGCAGCGACGCCGCGUGUGGGAAGACGGUCCUCUGGAUUGUAAACCACUGUCCCCAGGGACGAAGAUGACGGUACCUGGGGAGGAAGCUCCGGCUAACUACGUGCCAGCAGCCGCGGUAAUACGUAUGGAGCGAGCGUUGUCCGGAAUUACUGGGUGUAAGGGGAGCGUAGGCGGGACUGCAAGUUGGGUGUCAAAGCUACCGGCGCAACCGGGAGCCGAACUCAAAACUGCAGUUCUUGAGUGAAGUAGAGGCAGGCGGAAUUCCUAGUGUAGCGGUGAAAUGCGUAGAUAUUAGGAGGAACACCAGUGGCGAAGGCGGCCUGCUGGGCUUUUACUGACGCUGAGGCUCGAAAGUGUGGGGAGCAAACAGGAUUAGAUACCCCAGUAGUC